This 253-nucleotide ribosomal RNA is filed under the name uncultured bacterium. Its description in RNAcentral is "partial 16S ribosomal RNA". It matches the Rfam family "Bacterial small subunit ribosomal RNA", at positions 524 to 776 of the family's 1533-position model. The record is from RNAcentral.
UACGUAGGGUGCGAGCGUUGUCCGGAAUUAUUGGGCGUAAAGAGCUUGUAGGCGGUUUGUCGCGUCUGCUGUGAAAUCUCAAGGCUCAACCUUGAGCUUGCAGUGGGUACGGGCAGACUAGAGUGUGGUAGGGGAGACUGGAAUUCCUGGUGUAGCGGUGAAAUGCGCAGAUAUCAGGAGGAACACCGAUGGCGAAGGCAGGUCUCUGGGCCACUACUGACGCUGAGAAGCGAAAGCAUGGGGAGCAAACGGG